Long non-coding RNA from Pyrus x bretschneideri (Chinese white pear), 1639 nucleotides. RefSeq lists it as uncharacterized. The transcript is spliced from 2 exons. Lineage: Eukaryota; Viridiplantae; Streptophyta; Magnoliopsida; Rosales; Rosaceae. The record is from RefSeq and is a predicted model, not a curated record.
AUUGUCUGAUUAGCUCUAUAUUCAUAUUUGUUUAGUACAUUGUACAGUAAUUGCCCAUUUUGUUUUAAGGGAUGAACGGGGUUAAGAGCAUCAUUAUGUAGUUGAAUAUAAUCUUUAAUUUAUCUUAAAUCUUUGUUUAAGGUUAUGGCCGUUUACUAGCCUUUAUUAAACGGUUUGACAAAUAGCAUAUAAAAGAUCGAUAUUUUCCCAAACUACUUUGUAAUUAUACACAUUAUGUUGAUUUGAUGAAAAUAUGGAAUUAAUUUCUUAUGAUCAUCCUAUUUAUACAUGUAUAUACAGGUUUGUAUAUGCUUGAACUAAGCCAAGCUAUUUUUCAAACUAUAUAUGUAUAUGUUGCAAUCACAAGGAUAUCCAAGAUAAUAUAGAAUUUACACAAUCACAUUCUUGACCCAUUAGCAUUAGAAUUGUAAGGUAUAGCUAUUAUAUAAACCGCCUAACUAUCGCUUCCCCGGCAGAAUCCCCAAUUUCGCCCGUCUCUUACAAAACAGAACCAUGAUCAACCUAUCCAAGGCCGAGGCUAAGGCCAGGUUCAAGGCUAAGGCCAAGGCCAAGUCGAAGUCCCUAGCCGGACGAGGAUCCGGAUCCUGGCAGGGGAAGAUUCCAGGCCAACCGACGAAGCUCAGAGGUGAGAUCCGGACUCCUCCCUCUUCUCAUGAUGGCCCUCCGACUCAACUCAAAAAUGAAAAGGCUGUUGAAGAGAAUCUGGCUAAAGUCCAGCUUGACAAGGAGAAUACUACUACUCCAAAACCAAAACCAGAAAAGAGAGAGCAGAAUGGGUAGAACUUUCCUAUUCACAGACCCUUGUCGAAUUUGCAAUGUGUUUGGGCACUGGACUGAUUUAUGCCCCUACCUGAAAUUUGUCCCAUACAACGUAACUAAGGUUGUUGGCAAGGGCUAUGAAAUACAUGACGGCCGCCAUGGGAGGUAUGCUGCUCCGAUUUAUUGUCUUAACUGUACGGUGCCGGUUGAACACGAGGCUGAAAAGUGCCCGUACGACAGCUGAUGCAUGGCCAGUAAUCCAGGGCCAUCAUGGUUCGCCUCCUUCCACCCCAUAAUCUUUCCGAUGGCGAGGAAGGUGUCGGAUUAUCUAGUCUUGGGCUGUUGCUUUCGUCUUUACGUGGAGGAUGAACUGCAACAGCAACAAAAAUAAUAGGGUGCUUCCCAACUCUUCCACGCAUUUCAGCUGAAAUAAUAGGGUUCCGCGCAUUAAAAACCCUAAGACCUCUUUCUACCAUAAACCCUAAUUCCUAAACCCCUCGACCCCCAAUUUUAAAACUCCCAGAACCCAUAGCUAUAUAUAAUCCCCAAAAAUCUCAAUUUUACAGAACAACUUGGACUCUUCAUCAGCAACGACAAUGGAGGUGGAAGGAGCAGAGGGGAAGGGGAAGACAAUGUUGUGCUCUCGGACGGACGCAGAUGGAACACUGAACCGUAACACCUUCAACAAAUCGUCAAUCAGCUUCGUCAAAAUGUUAAUCAUUUCUACUUCUUCUCUUUGAAAUAAUUUCGAUUAGCAAUAUAAAAUGUGUGAAAAAAAAUAUGAAGAAGAAUGUUUCUUGAAUUGAUGGGAUUGUAGAAAUUUGCUUUUAAAAUUGGAAAGAAUUUUUCUUUUGGCACA